Apis cerana (Asiatic honeybee) is the source of this 1397-nucleotide long non-coding RNA. RefSeq lists it as uncharacterized. The record is from RefSeq and is a predicted model, not a curated record. Lineage: Eukaryota; Metazoa; Arthropoda; Insecta; Hymenoptera; Apidae.
UCAGAUUCGUCGAAGAGAUUUCGAAAACGUAGUUUCAAAUUCCGCUUCUUCGGAUAGAAUCUUAAUACAAUCUUGACCUGUUUCUCUGGUUUUUUUAAUUUUUCCACUAAUUAAAUCAUCUGGUUAAAUUGCGCGUGAUCCUUUUUCUCCGAUGUUCUCGAUUGAGAAAAGAAAAUGUUUAAAUUAAACGAAGAAAUGUUCCAUUGACGAUAAGAUAUUUCGUUCGAGAUAAAAUGUUUAUUUCUUCUGAAGGAACGUGGAGAUUCGUUUUGAAGAUAGGAAAGGAAAAUUCCAUUGCUAUGAAAUAACAUAUACGAAGAAAUGGAGAUGAAAAACAUUCGUGAAACGUUCCGUAAUCGCGAAAGAAACAACGUGAAAAUCACGUGAAGAAAGUAUUCACAACGUGUUAUACAACCUGUCGAUUUGGUAAUAAUAAUGCGAUAAAAAAGGAUUGACGUCAUAAUUUAAUAGUUGCGUCACUUGACGAUACCCUUUCAAAAUUUGAAUCGGUUAUCUGCCCGGAACGAUACGAAUAUACUGAAGAAAAAGUGGGAAACUUAAUGAAAAGAAACGAUUCGAUAUAAUAAACGUGAUCGGUAUAAUAGCACGCGGUAUAUUCCAGUAUCGUGUUUAUUUAAUUUCCUAGAAGAAUAAAAAAAGCGAGAAGAAGAUAUUUACAAAUCGCUAUAAUUCACCAAGAAAUUUAUUCAUUGUUUUAUUAUUUGUUUUAUGCUAAAAUUAUACCAAUGCCGUAUGUUAAUGUUCACCGUCGUAAAAUGAUAUUUCAGGAUGUAAUAGGCAAAUAAAUAUUUGCCUAUUAUCGCUCUCUAUUGUUUGUUAAUAUAUUUCAAUUAAUAAAAAUAGUCGCCACAAGAAAAAAAAUAGUUAAUGCCCUGUGCAUUAUGCAAUAAAUAAAAAUUGCAUAAGACAGUUUUUUUUUAUUAACUAAUAUCAUCUAUUUUAAUUUUCACACAGACGGCAUUUCUACCGUUAUUAUUCAUACGAGUGCAUCAACUUGUUUUCAAGAACGCAUAAUCGAGACCGUAUGCCCGGAUGUUGCCGUAUGACGUAGAUAUCCCGUUUAAAAAACUCAAUGAAAAGAAAUAAGCUUUCCAACGUGUACGCGUUCUAUAUCGAAAUUUCACGAACUACUUUCUCCUAAAUUUAUAACUGUCACACGGUGAACGUUAACGUUUUACAUACAUACAUAUAUAUAUAUAUAAAAUAUUAUUUUAUUUCGAUUUCAAUUUUAAUCUUUCUCACCGCUAUAAACGCCCGAUUAUUCGCAAACAUUCGCUGUCGAGAAUUGUUUUCUGCCUAUUCGCAAUAUAAUCUCGCGUAUGUUGAAGCACGGCCAAUCGUCAAACAGGAAAAGGAUUUUCGCAAUGUGCACCAAU